This 766-nucleotide ribosomal RNA is filed under the name Lepidostroma vilgalysii. RNAcentral's name for it is "eukaryotic LSU rRNA". The stretch from base 161 to 766 matches the Rfam family "Eukaryotic large subunit ribosomal RNA", at positions 1 to 603 of the family's 3401-position model. The record is from RNAcentral. Lineage: Eukaryota; Fungi; Basidiomycota; Agaricomycetes; Lepidostromatales; Lepidostromataceae.
CCCCUUGGGUCGACUCCCCUUCAAAUGCAUUAGCUGAAGCCGCCCUGGCCUCAUGUCUCGGUGUGAUAACAUGUUAUGCCGUGCCAAUGUUGAGGGCCCUUUGCAAUUGGGCUGGCGUCGCUUAUAGACGUCCCCRUCAUGGGGACAGCUUUGAACCAUUUGACCUCAAAUCAGGUAGGAUUACCCGCUGAACUUAAGCAUAUCAAUAAGCGGAGGAAAAGAAACUAACAAGGAUUCCCCUAGUAACUGCGAGUGAAGCGGGAAGAGCUCAAAUUUAAAAUCUGGUGGUCUUUGGCCAUCCGAGUUGUAGUCUGGAGAAGUGUUUUCCGCGCUGGACCGUGUACAAGUCUUCUAGAACGGAGCAUCAUAGAGGGUGACAAUCCCGUCUUUGACAUGGACAACCAGUGCUUUGUGAUGCGCUCUCGAAGAGUCGAGUUGUUUGGGAAUGCAGCUCAAAAUGGGUGGUAAAUUCCAUCUAAAGCUAAAUAUUGGCGAGAGACCGAUAGCGAACAAGUACCGUGAGGGAAAGAUGAAAAGCACUUUGGAAAGAGAGUUAAACAGUACGUGAAAUUGUUGAAAGGGAAACGCUUGAAGUCAGUCGCGUCUUCCAGGGAUCAGCCCUGCUCUUUUGCUUGGCGCACUUCCUGGUUUGACGGGUCAGCAUCAAUUUUGACCAUUGGACAAGGGGUGUGGGGAAUGUGGCACCUUUCGGGGUGUGUUAUAGCCUCCACUCGAAUACGGUGGUUGGGAUUGAGGUUCGCGGCAC